This 497-nucleotide ribosomal RNA is filed under the name uncultured bacterium. Its description in RNAcentral is "partial 16S ribosomal RNA". It matches the Rfam family "Bacterial small subunit ribosomal RNA", at positions 28 to 507 of the family's 1533-position model. The record is from RNAcentral.
GAUGAACGCUGGCGGCGUGCCUAAUACAUGCAAGUCGAGCGAACAGACGAGGAGCUUGCUCCUCUGACGUUAGCGGCGGACGGGUGAGUAACACGUGGAUAACCUACCUAUAAGACUGGGAUAACUUCGGGAAACCGGAGCUAAUACCGGAUAAUAUGUUGAACCGCAUGGUUCAAUAGUGAAAGACGGUUUUGCUGUCACUUAUAGAUGGAUCCGCGCCGCAUUAGCUAGUUGGUAAGGUAACGGCUUACCAAGGCAACGAUGCGUAGCCGACCUGAGAGGGUGAUCGGCCACACUGGAACUGAGACACGGUCCAGACUCCUACGGGAGGCAGCAGUAGGGAAUCUUCCGCAAUGGGCGAAAGCCUGACGGAGCAACGCCGCGUGAGUGAAGAAGGUCUUCGGAUCGUAAAACUCUGUUAUUAGGGAAGAACAAAUGUGUAAGUAACUAUGCACGUCUUGACGGUACCUAAUCAGAAAGCCACGGCUAACUACGUG